GUGCUCGCUUCAGCCACACAUAUACUAAAAUUGGAAUGAUACAGAGAUUUAGCAUGGCCACUGCACAAGGAUGACAUGAAUAUUCUUGAAGAAACUCAACAUGAA
Molecule: small nuclear RNA, 105 nt
Organism: Suncus etruscus (white-toothed pygmy shrew)
Lineage: Eukaryota; Metazoa; Chordata; Mammalia; Eulipotyphla; Soricidae
Source: RefSeq, a predicted model, not a curated record